This 349-nucleotide ribosomal RNA is filed under the name uncultured Streptococcus sp. RNAcentral describes it as "bacterial SSU rRNA". It matches the Rfam family "Bacterial small subunit ribosomal RNA", at positions 1029 to 1382 of the family's 1533-position model. Lineage: Bacteria; Bacillati; Bacillota; Bacilli; Lactobacillales; Streptococcaceae. The record is from RNAcentral.
CGGUGACAGGUGGUGCAUGGUUGUCGUCAGCUCGUGUCGUGAGAUGUUGGGUUAAGUCCCGCAACGAGCGCAACCCCUAUUGUUAGUUGCCAUCAUUCAGUUGGACACUCUAGCGAGACUGCCGGUAAUAAACCGGAGGAAGUGGGAUGACGUCAAUCAUCAUGCCCCUUAUGACCUGGGCUACACACGUGCUACAAUGGUUGGUACAACGAGUUGCGAGUCGGUGACGGCGAGCUAAUCUCUUAAAGCCAAUCUCAGUUCGGAUUGUAGGCUGCAACUCGCCUACAUGAAGUCGGAAUCGCUAGUAAUCGCGGAUCAGCACGCCGCGGUGAAUACGUUCCCGGGCCUU